This 493-nucleotide ribosomal RNA is filed under the name uncultured bacterium. RNAcentral describes it as "bacterial SSU rRNA". It matches the Rfam family "Bacterial small subunit ribosomal RNA", at positions 28 to 509 of the family's 1533-position model. The record is from RNAcentral.
GACGAACGCUGGUUUUCGGCGUGGAUUAGGCAUGCAAGUCGAACGGUAUCAUCCUUUCGGGGAUGAGAGAGUGGCGAACGGGUGAGUAACACGUAGGUGAUCUACCCUCAAGACGGGGACAACCCAGGGAAACUUGGGCUAAUACCGGAUGUGAGCUAUCGCGAGAUAGUUUGAAAGGUGGCUUCGGCUGCCGCUUGGGGAUGAGCCUGCGUCCUAUUAGCUAGUUGGUGAGGUAACGGCUCACCGAGGCAGUGAUAGGUAGGCGGCCUUAACGGGUGGUCGCCCACACUGGGAUUGAGAUACGGCCCAGACUCCUACGGGAGGCAGCAGUCGAGAAUAGUCUACAAUGGUCGAAAGACUGAUAGUGCGACGCCGCGUGAACGAAGAAGCCCUUCGGGUGUAAAGUUCUUUUAUAUGUGAGCAGUGACAUCUAUAUAAUAGUAUGGGUGUAGAGAUAUUAAGCAUAUGAAUAAGCAACGGCUAACUCCGUGCC